CACGUAGGCGGAUAUUUAAGUCAGGGGUGAAAUCCCAGAGCUCAACUCUGGAACUGCCUUUGAUACUGGGUAUCUUGAGUAUGGAAGAGGUAAGUGGAAUUCCGAGUGUAGAGGUGAAAUUCGUAGAUAUUCGGAGGAACACCAGUGGCGAAGGCGGCUUACUGGUCCAUUACUGACGCGGAGGUGCGAAAGCGUGGGGAGCAAACA
RNAcentral lists this ribosomal RNA (207 nucleotides) under uncultured bacterium. Its description in RNAcentral is "partial 16S ribosomal RNA". It matches the Rfam family "Bacterial small subunit ribosomal RNA", at positions 568 to 774 of the family's 1533-position model. The record is from RNAcentral.